This is a long non-coding RNA of Zonotrichia leucophrys gambelii, 1131 nucleotides long. RefSeq lists it as uncharacterized. The transcript is spliced from 4 exons. Lineage: Eukaryota; Metazoa; Chordata; Aves; Passeriformes; Passerellidae. The record is from RefSeq and is a predicted model, not a curated record.
UGUAUUGAUUGAGGGAGCAGGUUUCUUCCAUAUAUUCAUAGAGGCUGGUUUAGCCUGAGCUGGGACUCAGAGACUGUGUCUCUCUUUCUCUGGUUAUGAUUUAUGACUUCAAUCCAAUUUAUAGCCAUUUACAAGAAUGCUGAACUGGCUGUAAAUCAGUAAAAGACCAUAAAAUACUCAUGGAGCUGCUGAAAUCCAUCUGGCAGGCUCAGGCUCAUGGACAACGAUAACGAGAAACUGCUGAGGCCGACUGGGGAGCGAGCAAGCCUGAGGGAUGUCUCCCUUAUCCCUCUGGCCAGCACAGGUUUAAAUCAGUGCUGGUCAGCUGGCUGCUUGGACGGGCUAAAUCUGGGCUGGAAGAAGCCCUGAUGAGACUGAGGGAAGAUAGCUGACAGUAAGCCUUUGAAAAGCUGGGAUGACCCUACACCUCUGUGCUGGGUGGGCAAUCCUUUGCCCAUCUCGUGUAGAAUGCAGACCCCGGGUUGGUGCCUGCUGUUCUGCUCAUCACUCAGCUGUUGGGAAUGCUGGAUGCCUGGGAAAGGAGAAGAAACUUAGGUGCUUCCAUAAAGCUGUAUGUUUACAGAUGGGGACCUGUGACCAUUUCUCCAAGCCAUUUCUCAAGCCAAAAAGGGGCAAUAUAAACAGGAGAAAAAUGACAACGGGCUGCUUCACUUCUAAUGACAUCAAAUGGUUUGAAUCUGACAUUGAUGGGGAACUUGGAGAAACCACCAUCAAUUUCUCAAUUCUUCUUUUCCUACUACCCUCCAUCUGGAGGAAGCUAUCACCCAGGCAUGGCACAGCAAAUUCUUCACCUCCGUCUGUAGUCCUGCAAUAUUUUCUGACAUUCACAAGAAAAAUAUAAGGUCAAUUAACAUUCCUGCUAUAUUGAAGAACUAGCAAAAAAGUUCAAGUUUUUUGAGGUUUCAUUCUCUACAUGACCUCCAGCAAACUUACCCUGUUGGAGAGAUUCAGUGUUUUUCAAGGGCAGCUGAAGCACUGCCUACAUGAAAGAAGUUGGCAUCAAUGCAAUUACAUCAAUACAGAGCACGUUGUCUUACUGUAGAAAGGGCCUUGUGUCCUUUCAGGAAUGAAUCCUGAAUAUAGAUCUUUCUGAAGGAAAACAAUGAAUAA